AUUGAACGCUGGCGGCAGGCCUAACACAUGCAAGUCGAACGAGUGGCGGACGGGUGAGUAAUGUCUGGGAAACUGCCUGAUGGAGGGGGUAACCUACUGGAACAGUUGGCUAUUACCGCUCACCUCCGGUUUGGCCCAGAUGGGUUUAUCUAGUGGGGGGGGUAACGGUUCACAAAGGCGCCGAUCCCUAGCUGGUCUGAGAGGGUGACCGGCCACACGGGAACGGAGAAACGGUCCAGACUCCUACGGGAGGAAGCAGUGGGGAAGAUGGGAAAAGGGACGAAAGCCUGAUCCAGCAAUGCCGGGGGAGUGAAGAAGGUUUUCGGAUUGUAAAGAACUGUAAGUGGGGAGGAGUUACCAAAAGAGAAAGCACCGGCUAACUUCGUGCCAGCAGCCGCGGUAAUAC
Molecule: ribosomal RNA, 406 nt
Filed under: uncultured bacterium
Lineage: Bacteria
Description: partial 16S ribosomal RNA
Rfam family: Bacterial small subunit ribosomal RNA
Source: RNAcentral